CCUCCUGGGGAUCUGGGAUGAGCCCAGGCUCCUCCCCUGGAAGAACCUUUGGCCAGUCCUUGAAUCGGCCAAUCUGCCGCCUCCCAGAGCCCCCAGGCCCUGGGCUGGGGGCAGGGACGAAGAUGGGGAGGAGGCAACACUAGCUCUGGCCAAGCGCUGCUGGGUCACCGUGAGUACCCGCUCCAUUUGGCCUCCUUCUGGGGCUGUUUAGACAGGAUGGGUCACUCUCCGGGCUGGGUGUCCGAGCCCUUCAGUAACUACUGUGGGCCCCUAAGUCCCGCAGUUCUGAGAGGCGUCCCCUGCCACCCGUGCCAGCCUCCCCCAGCCCUUCCUGCUGCCUGCUCGUGCCCACUGCUCACACACACUGCUUUAUUGGUGAUAACCAGAGCACCAAAGGGCCAGGAGGGACUGCCCUCCUUUCCCUACUAGUUCAGUGCUCUCUCCAGGCACCCCGGGUCCACAGAGCAAUUGCCUCCUCCUGUAGUUUCACUGAUCAGUGUGUGAAGGCCCAGAGAGGGUCAAGGGCUCGGCCAGAGCCACACAGCCCAGGUCCUUUUCAAUUUCUCCAAGGCCCCAGUGAACUUUCUUUGGUACCAGUUUUAGGAAGCAGCGUACAUACAGAAUGGGAGAGUGACGAUUUGGAGGAAAUGAUUUCCUGCCAAAGUCUCUUUCUUUCCUUUUCCAAGAUGAUGGGACAACUGGGGCUCUGGGUUCCUCCUCUGUGUGGGCAAAGGAGGAGCAUGGAGCCAGCUGGGGCUGUGCCAGGAAGCCAGACACCUUGAAUUAUUUGUAUUAACGGGUAUGACCAGAAGCAGGGUGCAGGACAUGCGCUGAGCCAAUCUGUGGGGCCUGUAGUUUCACACUGAAUUACCAAGAUCAAUUAGUCAGUUUGGGAGGCGAAGGGUACCAAGGGGACUGCUUGUCUUAAGGGUCUUUCAAGGUAUCUUCUCUUUUGUGACUUUGGUAAUCCUGUGACAGACAGUGCCUGCCCAUGAGCCCCAGACACAGUGGAGCUCCCCAAGACAUCUGUUGCUUAGGUACAAGGCACAUCUUGGAGUUCCUUUCUUGACUCAGCAGUUAACGAACCCAACGAGGAUCCACAAGGAUGCGGAUUCGAUCCCUGGCCUCGCUCAGUGGGUUAAGGAUCCAGGCAUUGCCCUGAGCUGUGGUGUAGGUCCCAGACACGGCUUGGAUCCCGCGUUGCUGUGGCUGUGGCGUCAGCUGGCAGCUGUAGCUCGGAUUCGACCCCUAGCCUGGGAACUUCCAUAUACCGUGGGUGUGGUCCUAAAAAAGUAAAAAACAAACAAAAAAACCCACAUAUCUAUCCUCCCAGCAUCCAUCCUUGUCCACUGAUCACAAAAAAAGCAACAGCCUGUGCACUGCUCU
RNAcentral lists this long non-coding RNA (1386 nucleotides) under Sus scrofa (pig). Its description in RNAcentral is "lncRNA (ENSSSCG00070026472.1)". Lineage: Eukaryota; Metazoa; Chordata; Mammalia; Artiodactyla; Suidae. The record is from RNAcentral.